This is a long non-coding RNA of Chinchilla lanigera (long-tailed chinchilla), 160 nucleotides long. RefSeq lists it as uncharacterized. Lineage: Eukaryota; Metazoa; Chordata; Mammalia; Rodentia; Chinchillidae. The record is from RefSeq and is a predicted model, not a curated record. The transcript has 2 exons.
GGAGCAGCGGGUGUGCGGGAGUCCUGCGUGUGCCCUGUGUGAGGGCCCAGGGUAUGAAGCUGCAUCUGGACAGAGCAGGAGGAGGAUGUGAGGUGUACAAUAAAGAAUUCGACUGGACUUUCCCCUUCCAUCUGGUGUAUAAUAAAGUAUUUGACUGGCA